ACGCACUGGAAGCACGGUGGUAUAGUUUCAGUUGUAGGUUAUGGUGGUGGGGUUAUUGGUAGGUAUUCAGAUCUUGGAGAACAGAUUCCAGAGGUAGAGCACUUCCAUACCAUGCGUAUAAACAUGCCUACGGGCUGGUUCUACUCAACCAAGGCUUUAAGAGGCAUUUGUAAUGUUUGGGAGAAAUGGGGAAGCGGAUUAACAAACUUCCAUGGCUCUACUGGUGAUAUAAUUUUCCUUGGAACGAGAAGUGAGAACUUGCAAGCAUGCUUCGAAGACCUUGGAAAUCUAGAAAUUCCCUUUGACAUUGGUGGUAGCGGUUCAGAUCUAAGAACCCCAUCAGCCUGCAUGGGUCCAUCUCUGUGUGAGUUUGCCUGCUAUGACACUCUUGAAUUGUGCUAUGACCUUACAAUGACAUAUCAGGAUGAGCUUCAUAGACCAAUGUGGCCUUACAAGUUCAAGAUAAAGUGUGCUGGCUGCCCAAAUGAUUGUGUGGCUUCAAAAGCAAGAGCAGAUUUUGCAAUCAUUGGAACAUGGAAGGAUGAGAUCAAGAUUGACCAAGAAGCUGUGAAGGAGUAUGCAAAGUGGAUGGAUAUUGAAAAUGAAGUUGUAAAGCUCUGUCCAACCAAGGCAAUAAAAUGGGACGGUAAGAAAAUUACUAUAGACAACAGGAACUGUGUAAGGUGUAUGCAUUGCAUCAACAAAAUGCCAAAAGCACUUAAACCAGGAGAUGAGGGGGGAGCAACAAUCUCUCAUUGGUGCUAAGGCACCUUUUUGUUGAGGGUG
Molecule: ribosomal RNA, 786 nt
Filed under: uncultured bacterium
Lineage: Bacteria
Description: partial dissimilatory sulfite reductase alpha subunit
Source: RNAcentral